AAUCUCAAUAACACUAAACCAGGACCCCGAGAUAACCGCCAAAAAACCCAGAAACUACCUGCUCAGAUUCAUAGGGCAUACCUAACAAAAUGAAGGUGUUUGCCAAACCCUUAACACAUAUUUGAAUUGGUCGAUGCCACUGGCUCCACUUUUUUGCAUUUCUAUCAUAAUAGGAAUUAUUAUCAAGUAAUUUAUUCAGGUUGAUAGUAGUUUCUUUCGUAACGUGUUAAGUGCAUAAACCAAAAGUUAUAUUAAGUAUUAGAACAUAAUGAGUCCUUAAUGUAAAAGAACAAACCUCUGCCAGUUUAUUCAUAUCGAAGAAACGUUCAUUCGAUCCAAUGCUCCUAAUAACAUCACGAGCGUCUCUCUCCAAGGAUUUUCUGAGAAAAUAAAAUAAAAUAAAAUUAAACAUCAUUUCUUUGGGCCUUGAGAUAUUCUUCAUUAAACCUAAAGUAUGCAGUUACACACAUUUUCCCUAACACAUUCUGUCAUAGUGAUAGGAGCCAAGUUACAUGCAGAUGUAACAUGUAACAGAAGGACUCGUGGCCUGUAAAAUCUCAGUGCAAAAUAAUUAUGCCAAUAUGGUAUUAACAUUCUGUUGGUUCUUUUAUUGAAAGCAUCAUGCACAUAAAGAAAUUGGAGAAUAUCAGAUACUAGACAAGUGUGUAUCAUCCGAAAGUGUCUGCAGAACAUAAACGGUGCAUUAAGAGUCCCUAAACAUGUCUCAGAUACCCACUAUUUAAAAUCACUAGACUAGAUAAAAAUUUUGUAUGUGUUCGUCAUACCUUAUAGAGAACUAAUGGCUUGCUAGUUUUGAACUUAUAUUUCAAAAUUUUUGAUCAAAUAACUUCAGUUGAAACAAAAUCCGUCGUCUUUUUCUAAAAAUAUAACAGAAAAAAGUUUAUUUUGCAUUAUAUCUUUAGUCGAAUUGGAAAAUUAGAGAAUACUUACAUGUAACUCAUAUUAAAUGUACAACUUCUCAAAGUUCUCCCCGGAGCACUUAGCCAAACCAGGAACUUUAGAAGGUGAAAAAAGAGACCAAUACUGAUUACAUUUGUACCUCUUCAUAAAGAGGUCCGGGAUCCAAAGUAAAAUUUCCACUUCCUGAAGAUGAAUGAAUGCAUUGUAAAAAGUUUGAAAAAAUCAGAUGAGAAUCUGCUUUUAAAUAUUAGAUGUGAUAAACCCUUCUACCAAGGAACUUAAAGUUAUUAACAGAUGAAUCACCAGCACCAAGCACCAAGCCAAAAGUAAAGAAAUUUUUGCAUCCAAAUCCUUAUCCAAAUCCAAAUGCAAAUCACAUCUAAUAUUUAAAAGCAGAUUCUCAUCUGAGUUUUUCAAACUCUUUACAAUGCAUUCACUCAUCUUCAGGGAGUGGAAAUUUUACUUUGGAUCCCGGACCUCUUUAUGAAGAGGUACAAAUGCAAUCAGUACUGGUCUCUUUUUUCACCUUUUGAAGUUCCUGGUUUGGCUGAGUGCUCCGGGGAGAACUUUGAGAAAUUGUACAUUUAAUAUGAGCUAUAUGUAAGUAUUCUCUAAUUUUUCAAUUUGACUAAAGAUAUGCAAAAUAAACUUUUUCUGUUAUAUUUUUAGAAAAAGACGACGGAUUUUGUUUCAGCUGAAGUUAUUUUGCCAAAAAUUUUGAAAUAUCAGUUCAAAACUAGCAAGCCAUUAGUUCUCUAUAAGGCAUGACGAACACAUACAAAUUUUUUAUCUAGUCUAGUGAUUUUAAAUAGUGGGUAUCAGAGACAUGUUUAGGGACUCUUAAUGCACCGUUUAUGUUCUGCAGACACUUUCGGACGAUACACACUUGUCCAGUAUCUGAUAUUCUCCAAUUUCUUUAUGUGCAUAAUGCUUUCAAUAAAAGAAGUAACCAACAGAAUGUUAAUACCAUAUUGGCAUCAUUAUUUUGCACUGAGAUUUUACAGACCACAAGUCCUUCUGUUACAUGUUACAUCUGCAUGUAACUUGGCUCCUAUCACCUUGACAGAAUGUGUUAGGGAAAAUGUGUGUAACUGUAUACUUAAGGUUUAAUGAAGAAUAUCUCAAGGCCCAAAGAAAUGAUGUUUAAUUUUAUUUUAUUUUCUCAGAAAAUCCUUAGAGAGAUGCUCAUGUGAUGUUAUUGGGAGCAUUGGAUCGAAUGAACAUUUCUUCGAUAUGAAUAAACUGGCAGAGGUUUGUUCUUUUACAUUAAGGACUCGUUAUGGUCUAAUACUAAAUAUAAUUUUUGGUUUAUGCACUUAACAGGUUACGAAAGAAACUACUAUCAACCUGAAUAAAUUACUUGAUAAUAAUUCCUAUUAUGACGGAAAUGCAAAAAAGUGGAACCAGUGGCAUCGGCCAAUUCAGAUAGGUGUCAAGGGUUUGGCAGACACCUUCAUUUUGUUAGGUAUGCCCUAUGAAUCUGAGCAGGUAGUUUCUGGGUUUUUUGGCGGUUAUCUCGGGGUCCUGGUUUAGUGUUAUUGAGAUCUUUCUAAGUUGUUUAUUGUCUAUACAGGUCCGCGUUCUGAAUAUGAACAUCUUUGAAGUGUUAUAUUACUCUGCUCUUGGAGCUUGUUCUGUAAUUGCAGAAAAAAGAGCAAGUAUUGUUCAUUUGAGGAAAGUUCUAUGA
Molecule: long non-coding RNA, 2608 nt
Organism: Asparagus officinalis (garden asparagus)
Lineage: Eukaryota; Viridiplantae; Streptophyta; Magnoliopsida; Asparagales; Asparagaceae
Exons: 2
Source: RefSeq, a predicted model, not a curated record